RNAcentral lists this ribosomal RNA (257 nucleotides) under uncultured bacterium. RNAcentral's name for it is "partial small subunit ribosomal RNA". It matches the Rfam family "Bacterial small subunit ribosomal RNA", at positions 26 to 285 of the family's 1533-position model. The record is from RNAcentral.
AGGACGAACGCUGGCGGCGUGCUUAACACAUGCAAGUCGAGCGGUAAGGCUCCUUCGGGAGUACACGAGCGGCGAACGGGUGAGUAACACGUGAGCAAUCUGCCCUUCUCUUUGGAAUAAGCGUGGGAAACCGCGUCUAAUGCCGAAUACGACUUCGGGAGGCAUCUCCUGAAGUGGAAAGCUCCGGCGGAGAAGGAUGAGCUCGCGGCCUAUCAGCUUGUUGGUGAGGUAAUGGCUCACCAAGGCGACGACGGGUA